Molecule: ribosomal RNA, 489 nt
Filed under: uncultured bacterium
Lineage: Bacteria
Description: bacterial SSU rRNA
Rfam family: Bacterial small subunit ribosomal RNA
Source: RNAcentral
GAUGAACGCUAGCGGCAGGCCUAACACAUGCAAGUCGAGGGGUAACAUAGGAAAGCUUGCUUUUCUGAUGACGACCGGCGCACGGGUGCGUAACGCGUAUACAACCUACCGUUUUAGCGGGGAAUAGCCCAGGGAAACUUGGAUUAAUGCCCAUAGUAUAUAGACUUCUCCUGAAGUUUAUAUUUAAACAUUUAUGGCUAUUAGAUGGGUAUGCGUCCUAUUAGUUAGUUGGUAAGGUAACGGCUUACCAAGGCAGCGAUAGGUAGGGGUCCUGAGAGGGAGAUCCCCACACUGGUACUGAGGCACGGACCAGACUCCUACGGGAGGCAGCAGUGAGGAAUAUUGGACAAUGGGCGAGAGCCUGAUCCAGCCAUGCCGCGUGCAGGAAGACUGCCCUAUGGGUUGUAAACUGCUUUUACAGAGGAAGAACCACCCCCACGUGUGGGGGGUUUGACGGUACUCUGCGAAUAAGGAUCGGCUAACUCCGUG